Paramuricea clavata is the source of this 829-nucleotide non-coding RNA. Lineage: Eukaryota; Metazoa; Cnidaria; Anthozoa; Malacalcyonacea; Plexauridae. The record is from the annotation of a GenBank genome assembly.
AUGCUGUUGCCAUGACAACAUAUUUUUAACACAAAAGUAGCAAUUUGUAAUGUUCAGGAGAACAUUGUCAAUGUGACCAAUAAAUUUCGUUUUCAUGUCAAGUAAAGUAAAGAAACAGGAGUCUCCUGAAUACUACAGUUUAGUAAAUUAAAAAACCCUAGGGAGCCACCUUAAGUAUAAUGAGAAUAUGAAACGCACUCACCGGUUUAAAGUCGAACAGAUCUGAUGUGGAUAGAAAGUAGCCGUUUCCCAGGUUCUGAACGUCGGGACUUGGAAGCUUCGAUAUAUCCGAGAAAAAGAUAGCGCGGCCAUACUCGUGUACGAAAAAUUUUCCUUUUAUGUUGUCUCGAAGACCGUUGAAACCAGAGUGAACUGAGAUAAAAUUUGGCUAGCUUUUGCUGAUAACUGAAGAAUGUCGGCUUAGCAAAAUGGGAUUAUAUUGGCAGUUUGAUAUUGACGCUUGGCAGAUAUUGCCUGGAGAGCAACGCGGUUGUUUUCCCUGGUUAUCGUUACCGUUUAGGUUACAUAGUUUUAGGUAUGGAUGUUGCCUCUUAUUAAUCCCAAUUUAUUUUUUAAAUAAAUUGCUCCAUAAUUAUCUCUGCACAAUUAUAAAUUUUGAAUCAUGUGAACAACUGAUCAUGUGAUGUGAUGUGAAUUGUGAAACCACACUUCAUGCACAUUUUCGUCGAUUCUUGGCCGAAUAUUUUACAUGUACAUAAUCGAGCGCUUUUAGAAGACCUUAGAAGGUAGGUAAAGCUUUGCUGUUUUUAAUUUACCUUAUAUUCUGUUAUCUGUUGUGAAUUUGGAGUCUUUGUGCUCGCACUGAUUA